This 484-nucleotide ribosomal RNA is filed under the name uncultured bacterium. RNAcentral's name for it is "partial 16S ribosomal RNA". It matches the Rfam family "Bacterial small subunit ribosomal RNA", at positions 29 to 507 of the family's 1533-position model. The record is from RNAcentral.
AUUGAACGCUGGCGGCAUGCUUUACACAUGCAAGUCGAACGGCAGCGCGGGCUUCGGCCUGGCGGCGAGUGGCGAACGGGUGAGUAAUACAUCGGAACGUGCCCAGUAGUGGGGGAUAGCUCGGCGAAAGCCGGAUUAAUACCGCAUACGACCUGAGGGUGAAAGCGGGGGAUCUUCGGACCUCGCGCUAUUGGGGCGGCCGAUGGCAGAUUAGCUAGUUGGUGGGGUAAAGGCCUACCAAGGCGACGAUCUGUAGCUGGUCUGAGAGGACGACCAGCCACACUGGGACUGAGACACGGCCCAGACUCCUACGGGAGGCAGCAGUGGGGAAUUUUGGACAAUGGGCGAAAGCCUGAUCCAGCAAUGCCGCGUGUGUGAUGCAGGCCUUCGGGUUGUAAAGCACUUUUGGCGGGAACGAAAAGGACUGUGCCAAUACCACGGUUCGAUGACGGUACCCGCAGAAUAAGCACCGGCUAACUACGUG